GGUAAACUAGGAUUAGAUACCCUAGUAUACAAAUAAUUUUAGGAAGUAAUUUUUUUUUAAAAAACCUAUUUAAAAUGGCGGCAUUUCAUCUUUUUAAAGGAAUCUGUUUUAUAAUCGAUAUUCCACGAUAAUUUUCACUUUAAUUAAAAAUUUAUAUACCGCCAUCUAAAGAAUUAAUUUAAUAAUACUAUUCUAAACAAUAAAAUAAAAAGUUAGGUCAAGGUGUAAUCUACAUUAAAGUAAAUAAUGGAUUACAUUAAAAAUAAUUUAAGAAUAUAAUUAAUAAAUUUUUCAUUGAAAAAGGAUUUAUAAGUAAUAUUAUAAUAAUAUUAUAAUAUGAAUUAGAUAAUAAAUGUGUUCAUAUCGCCCGUCACCCUUAUCAUAAGAUAAGAU
Molecule: ribosomal RNA, 393 nt
Filed under: Anoteropsis senica
Lineage: Eukaryota; Metazoa; Arthropoda; Arachnida; Araneae; Lycosidae
Description: partial 12S ribosomal RNA
Source: RNAcentral